GCCGAUGUGGCGCAGUGGUAGCGCAUUCGAUUCGUAAUCGAACGGUCGCGAGUUCGAAUCUCGCCAUCGGCU
Transfer RNA from Gloeobacter kilaueensis JS1, 72 nucleotides. It matches the Rfam family "tRNA". From Rfam's summary of the family: Transfer RNA (tRNA) molecules are approximately 80 nucleotides in length. Lineage: Bacteria; Bacillati; Cyanobacteriota; Cyanophyceae; Gloeobacterales; Gloeobacteraceae. The record is from Rfam.